CUGCAGGGGCCCAGCCUUAGUUUUGCCCUGUUGUCACCACUACACCCUAAGGUUACAACAAUAAAAAUGAAAUGUAAAAUACACACACACUAAAAACAGUAAUGGUGCCUGAAAAUGGAGAGGGGAAACCAUUUCCUUAGCCAAAGGCAAAGGUAAAGCUUUAAUGCUCUCCUAAAGAUGUAAAGUGAAGAUGCCUGACACGCUUCAGGAGGAGAGAGUUCCACAAUCUGGGGGCCACCACUGAAAAGACCCCUUUUCAGCGGUGGCCCCAAGACUGCGGAUUAGCUGCCCCUGUAGACAUAGCCUUUGAAAGGCAGCCUGGCUCCCCCUCCACAGCGACCUUGACUUCGUUACGUGGAGCACCGGCCGUCCUCAGACCCACAAGGUCUCCAUGGUUUUGGCCCCCCGCCACCGUCUCCGCUCUGCGCCAAUGACUCGCCUGCCACCGUUCUGUCUUGGGCAAAGAACAAACCCCAGGCGGAGCCGAUCCACCUGCCUGUCUGCCCGGCCCGUCCGUCCGUCCGUCCGGGGAGGGAGCCUCCGUCCUGCCCGGCUCCCUCGCCCCACAGGGGGGCUCUCCGGUCCGGGGUCUGCCCUGCCUGCCUGCCCCCUGGGCGAGGCGAGGGCGGCGCCUCCGCGGUGCUACAAGAGGCGGCGGUGGCGGCCCGAGAGAGCGAGCGCGGCGGGGCGGCGGCGGGUUCGACGCCAUGGAACCGCUGCGGGAGUUCCGGGCGCUGGUGGACCGCGCCGGCGGGCGGCAGCGCCUGCUCCUGGUGGCCGAGGUGGCGGAGGGCGCCGGCGGGGCGGCCUCGCCGUCGGAGCGGACGCCGCCGCGGCUGCUGCUGGAGACCUUCGCCCGGGAGCUCUUCGCCGAGCGGCAGCCCGAGCCGGCCAAGGAGGCGGCGGCGGCGGCGGCGCCCCCAGCACGGCGGGGACGAGUGCGCGUCCCCCGCCGGGACUGCGGCCCGGGCUGGCCGUGGCGGGGCUGCCCGCUGCUCUUCGUGCUCUUCGGCGCCGCCUCGCUGCUGCCCCCGCGCUGGGCCCGGGAGCGACGCCGCCUGCGCGAGAUCCUGAGCGACGUGCGCGCCCGCCUGCGCGCCCGCCCCGGGGCGCCCCCCGCCGUGGUCGGCGUGGUCGUGCUGCCCGCCGGGGCCGCGGGGUCGGACUCGGAGGGGGCGGCGCGCGCGCACCUGGAGGCGCUGCUGCAGCGCGUCUUCGGCGAGCGCCGCCGCCGAGACCAGCCGCUGCCGGGCCGGCCGGAGACGCUGCAAGCCGCCACCUACUGCCCGGGCGGCCCCCGCGGAGCCGCCGAGGCCAGGGUCGCCGCCUGCCGCGCGCUGCGGGCCGCCCUCAAGCUCCGAGCAGAUGGGGCAGAAGCUGA
RNAcentral lists this long non-coding RNA (1381 nucleotides) under Salvator merianae (Argentine black and white tegu). RNAcentral's name for it is "lncRNA (ENSSMRG00000018764.1)". The record is from RNAcentral. Lineage: Eukaryota; Metazoa; Chordata; Lepidosauria; Squamata; Teiidae.